RNAcentral lists this ribosomal RNA (520 nucleotides) under uncultured Entrophospora. RNAcentral's name for it is "SSU rRNA". It matches the Rfam family "Eukaryotic small subunit ribosomal RNA", at positions 569 to 1086 of the family's 1831-position model. Lineage: Eukaryota; Fungi; Glomeromycota; Glomeromycetes; Entrophosporales; Entrophosporaceae. The record is from RNAcentral.
AACAGCCGCGGUAAUUCCAGCUCCAAUAGCGUAUAUUAAAGUUGUUGCAGUUAAAAGCUCGUAGUUGAAUUUCGGGAUUGACACAUCGGUCGUGCCUUAAGGGGUAUGAACUGGUGUAGUCAAUUUCUCACCUUCUGGAGAACCGCGAUGUCCUUAAUUGGGUGCCGCGGGGAACCAGGACCUUUACUUUGAAAAAUUAGAGUGUUUAAAGCAGGCAUUUUGCUUGAAUACAUUAGCAUGGAAUAAUAAAAUAGGACGGAUGAUUCUAUUUUGUUGGUUUCUAGGACCACCGUAAUGAUUAAUAGGGAUAGUUGGGGGCAUUAGUAUUCAAUUGUCAGAGGUGAAAUUCUUGGAUUUAUUGAAGACUAACUACUGCGAAAGCAUUUGCCAAGGAUGUUUUCAUUAAUCAAGAACGAAAGUUAGGGGAUCGAAGACGAUCAGAUACCGUCGUAGUCUUAACCAUAAACUAUGCCGACUAGGAAUCAGACGAUGUUAAUUUUUUAAUGACUCGUUUUGGCAC